UUUUCUCUUUCUGUCCAUAUAUAAUAAAUGGAUAUGUACAAACUAAUGGAAUAGUAGAAGAUAUAUAAAGGUAUAAUUGAUAAAAAUGUUCAAAAUUAUGAAAUUAAAAAAUGAAAAAAAUAAAAUAAAAACAUAACCUAAUAAACUAUGACUUUGUAAAAUAUAAAUACUCUAAUUAAAUGACGUUGAACAUUUAAUGAGAGGAGAAUAAAUUAACG
Molecule: long non-coding RNA, 218 nt
Filed under: Vigna radiata
Lineage: Eukaryota; Viridiplantae; Streptophyta; Magnoliopsida; Fabales; Fabaceae
Description: long non-coding RNA (VRAD_LNC008406)
Source: RNAcentral